GAGUCUUUAUGUCAGAACGACAUAGAAUAAUGAACCGUCAAAGAACAAACAGAGGAAUGCCUCAGACAAGCUAAAUAGAGAACUCGAGAUAAUAGACUCGGAGGAACCUUGCAGAGGACUCAGCUGGCUCUGACGACCACUUCGAGGGGGCCGACCUCUGCAACUCACACAUUUCGACCCCCCCUUCCUACGAGCUCCUACCGUCGUUAUAAAGACCGCCGGCUCGCGACUUUCCCUGGAUUAACUUCUCCUUCGCUGACAGAGUUGUGAAUUUUCGACAGAUGCUCCUUCCGAAUCAAGCCUUGUGGUCGAUGUGGCUUGCCCUACUCCUGCCGCCUUGCUAUCUUCUGCUUUUCUCCCUCUCCGAGCUCGACUCGCCUUCCUGAAUUUGGCGGGGGAUGCGAGGAUCGCAUCAAAAUCCCCCCUCUGACUGAGAGCGACCGGGGCCUUACCUGGGUAUAGCAGAGAAAAUUAUUCCUUGCGACUCGUCGCAGCGGACAACAGCAAUGCGAUCGCGAAAAUUAUUCUGAAGCUAGUUUGGGAUCGUUGGCGAGAGACGUUGGCGUGGGAUCGCCGAGGCAACAGCAUCCCGUGCGUCAGGCCCCGCGAGAAAAAUCCAGGCUUCUCGCCGCAUUGCAGCAGCUUCCACGCGAAUUGCGGGGUCGUCCGGCGACUUCGCCGGGGGCUGAGGAGGGCCUUCCCCCCCACCGCACUCCGCUUGCCAUCCAUCCAUCUGAGCGACCGAGUGGUCGUCAGUGGGAGAUACCAGCACGACGGACUCGGGCUCUCGACCUGGAUGGAAAUCGAAACCGAUCCCAGCGCGCUCCUCCGAGUCUCCCCGUGUUCGUUCGCAUCACCGUCAAGGAGGCGGUGGUCUAAGGGGGGGGGGUACGUGUCCGC
Molecule: long non-coding RNA, 900 nt
Filed under: Spirodela polyrhiza (greater duckweed)
Lineage: Eukaryota; Viridiplantae; Streptophyta; Magnoliopsida; Alismatales; Araceae
Description: long non-coding RNA (SPOL_LNC000086)
Source: RNAcentral